CCGACCACUCACUCUCGUCUACCACCAACAAUGACUCUUCCUCCGCCGCCUCCACCGACCUCACCGCCCAGCAGAAGUCACGCAUCGAAUUCCAAAAGCUGCUCGCCAAAGCCAGACGCAACCUCUCCAGCUGCUCCGACAGAGUCUCCUAUUCCAAGUCCAAAUGUAUUUAAUUAGUUAAAUCAAAUUUCGCUACAUUAAUAAUUAAUUUGGGGUCCGGAUAAUUACUAAUUAGGCGAAGGAGUGAAACUGGAGGAGCUGUUGGUGGAGGAGACGUGGCUGGAAGCGUUGCCGUCGGAGCUUCAGAAACCCUACGCCAAGACCCUCUCUAAGUUCGUUGAGAGUGAACUCUGCGGCGGCGUUCCCAUAUAUCCUCCCACUCACUUGAUCUUCA
Molecule: long non-coding RNA, 394 nt
Filed under: Malus domestica (apple)
Lineage: Eukaryota; Viridiplantae; Streptophyta; Magnoliopsida; Rosales; Rosaceae
Description: long non-coding RNA (MDOM_LNC002496)
Source: RNAcentral